UACGUAGGUGGCAAGCGUUAUCCGGAAUUAUUGGACGUAAAGAGCGCGCAGGUGGUUGAUUAAGUCUGAUGUGAAAGCCCACGGCUUAACCGUGGAGGGUCAUUGGAAACUGGUCGACUUGAGUGCAGAAGAGGGAAGUGGAAUUCCAUGUGUAGCGGUGAAAUGCGUAGAGAUAUGGAGGAACACCAGUGGCGAAGGCGACCACCUGGACUGAUACUGACACUGAGGUGCGAAAGCCAGGGGAGCAAACGGGGAUUAGAUACCCCCGUA
RNAcentral lists this ribosomal RNA (270 nucleotides) under uncultured prokaryote. RNAcentral's name for it is "partial 16S ribosomal RNA". It matches the Rfam family "Bacterial small subunit ribosomal RNA", at positions 524 to 792 of the family's 1533-position model. The record is from RNAcentral.